This 492-nucleotide ribosomal RNA is filed under the name uncultured bacterium. RNAcentral describes it as "partial 16S ribosomal RNA". It matches the Rfam family "Bacterial small subunit ribosomal RNA", at positions 29 to 507 of the family's 1533-position model. The record is from RNAcentral.
AGUGAACGCUGGCGGUAGGCCUAACACGUGCAAGUCGAACGGCAGCACAGUAAGAGCUUGCUCUUACGGGUGGCGAGUGGCGGACGGGUGAGGAAUACAUCGGAAUCUACUUUUUCGUGGGGGAUAACGUAGGGAAACUUACGCUAAUACAGCAUACGACCUACGGGUGAAAGCAGGGGAUCUUCGGACCUUGCGCGAUUGAAUGAGCCGAUGUCGGAUUAGCUAGUUGGCGGGGUAAAGGCCCACCAAGGCGACGAUCCGUAGCUGGUCUGAGAGGAUGAUCAGCCACACUGGAACUGAGACACGGUCCAGACUCCUACGGGAGGCAGCAGUGGGGAAUAUUGGACAAUGGGCGCAAGCCUGAUCCAGCCAUACCGCGUGGGUGAAGAAGGCCUUCGGGUUGUAAAGCCCUUUUGUUGGGAAAGAAAAGCAGCAGGUUAAUACCCCGCUGUUCUGACGGUACCCAAAGAAUAAGCACCGGCUAACUUCGUG